AGCGGCGUAAGGGGCAGUAAUACCUGGGAACGUACCCUGAGGUCGGGGAUAGCUGCUAGAAAUGGCGAGUAAUACCCGAUGAUCUCGAGAGAGCAAAGGCUUGCCGCCUUCGGAGCGGCCCAGGCGAUAUUAGCUAGUUGGUGAGGUAAUAGCUUACCAAGGCAUAGAUGUCUAGCGGGUGUGAGAGCACGACCCGCGCCACUGGCACUGAGACACUGGCCAGACACCUACGGGUGGCUGCAGUCGAGAAUCUUCGGCAAUGAGCGCAAGCUUGACCGAGCGACGCCGCGUGCGGGAUGAAGGCCUUCGGGUUGUAAACCGCUUUGGUCCGAGAGAAAGGGUAAAACUUGAUCGAUCGGAGGAACAAGGACGGGCUAAGUUCGUGCCAGCAGCCGCGGUAAGACGAACCGUCCAAACGUUAUUCGGAAUCACUGGGCUUAAAGGGCGCGUAGGCGGCCGAGCGGGUCGUGGGUGAAAUCCUCCAGCUUAACUGGAGAACUGCUUACGAUACCACUGCGGCUCGAGGAAGGAAGGGGCAAUCGGAACUGUCGGUGGAGCGGUGAAAUGCGUUGAUAUCGACAGGAACGCCGGUGGCGAAAGCGGAUUGCUGGUCCUUUUCUGACGCUGAGGCGCGAAAGCCAGGGGAGCAAACGGGAUUAGAUACCCCGGUAGUCCUGGCCUUAAACGAUGAGAACUAGG
RNAcentral lists this ribosomal RNA (699 nucleotides) under uncultured bacterium. RNAcentral's name for it is "bacterial SSU rRNA". It matches the Rfam family "Bacterial small subunit ribosomal RNA", at positions 94 to 820 of the family's 1533-position model. The record is from RNAcentral.